AUUAAAGAAAGUAUAUGUCUUUUUCCUGUUUCUUUAUAUGUUAAAGUCAAAUAAAGUACUAUACCAAUAAAGAAAGCAAAAUCUUGUUGAAAAUUUGACAUGAAACCUCAGAUUUACCAAAUCAUUCAUAUUCCAGAUUUUCCGUGGGAGCUAGCCUAGGCUUUCAGAGGUAUCAUUUAUAGAAUAAAGAGUAAUUAUUAUUCACUUCUUUUUCUGAAAAUCAAAAUCCAGAAGAUGAACACAGAUCAACAAGUUUUCCUACAUAUUUGCUACAGAAGCUGAAUCCAUUCAUUACGUUAGACAUAAAUUGUUUUCCUGGGCACUCACCCAGUCUGGAGAGCAAUUCAAAUCAUAGUCCAAUGAACGUUUAAUAGCUGGCAAAUACUGGCUGCAGACUACCUGCCAAGAAGAUACUGUGUGUACAAACAAAAUAUACAGUAUUAUACACCUACUUAUACAUACGGAACAGAAGAGGCCAAAUUUAUCCCUGCAAUAAGUAUAUUAGCUUUUACCAUGCCAGAACAAAGCAUCUUCAAAGCUACAGGCAAUUAAUUUGCCCCUAUUCCUGACACUGCAGGAUACAUUUCUUGGAGCAUGGACUGUAGCUUCCAGUAGCUUUGUCUACUGUGAAUCCAGCAAUAAGAAGAAUUGAUCGGAUGAAUACUGAAAAUACAGUUCCAAUGUAGUACAAGUUUCUACCUUGACCAUUCUAGCAACAUAAACAGAUGUACUGUGUCUGUCUGAUCUUCCUAGGGACAUGGAUCUACUACUGAUAUUAGUGACUAGUGUGGUGACUAAGAGAAGAAAGAACAAACUACCAACGCACUUGUUCUGCAACAGUAACUUCUUUGCUUAUUGCCUCUUUUCCCUCUACGCUGAGAAUGGAGCUGGCAAGAUCACAGAAAAGCAAUGCUAUAGUCCCACAGCAUACAUCAGAUCUGUCUUCAGUCACCUAACAUUUUUCGUUGCUGGCACCGAAGAUCCCCACGUUUCUCCGAAGUGA
RNAcentral lists this long non-coding RNA (1003 nucleotides) under Struthio camelus australis. RNAcentral describes it as "lncRNA (ENSSCUG00000009945.1)". The record is from RNAcentral. Lineage: Eukaryota; Metazoa; Chordata; Aves; Struthioniformes; Struthionidae.